Pongo pygmaeus (Bornean orangutan) is the source of this 3987-nucleotide RNA transcript. It is a transcript of the gene named integrator complex subunit 10, with no coding region annotated. The transcript has 16 exons. NCBI's taxonomy places the organism in Eukaryota, Metazoa, Chordata, Mammalia, Primates, Hominidae. The record is from RefSeq and is a predicted model, not a curated record.
UCUUUGCAGCAACCACGAACGGCAUCCACCAAAGCGCUUUCCAAGUACUUCAUUGCUCAAUAAACGUUUGUUGGAGAAACCGGUGAAUAAAGGUGAAAUAAUAAAACGUGGACGCAUUUCGGAAAGAGAAGGAACCCCCGAGCUCACACUUUGCACGAUCACCCCCACCGGUCCCAGGAGUUUUCGCGUAAAUCGAAGCCCGGGGAGUGAGUCGCAGGCAGCGACCCCGGGGAAGGUGUUUCAGGCCGGCCCGGGUGGACGAUGCUUCCCGCCGCCUCCCCGACACUCUCUGCUGUUCCUCUCAAACUUCUUCCCAGCCUUCCACGCCGGGGGACGCCCAGGGACCGCCCAUUCCCCGGGACCGCCCGUCUCCCCGCCCCCGCCCCCGCCCCCGCCCCCGCCCCCGCCCCCGCCCCCGCCAAACUGAGCAAUACCCAGAGAGGAUGGAAAUGGCGAAGUGGCUUAGCGCCUGCCCGCUCCCGCGCAUGCUCCCUGACUUCACCAGGGUCACGCUGCAGCCCGCAGGAAUGAAAAUCCACUUCUCCGCAUUUUGGAGGUGACCUGGAAGCGGUUCAAAUGCUCUGGCUUCUCAGAAGAGGAGGGGACCGGGAAGUAACGAGGAGCCAAGAAGAGACUGCUCGCAAAACCCGGAAAAGCCUUCCCGAUCCACUCUGCUAGCCUCCGUGCGCCUCCAGACAUGCGCAGUAGCCUCCUCCGCGGUGGCGGCGGCGGUGGCGGCCGUGGAGGCUGAGAGUCCAGAGCCAGACGUUCCGGCCGCUUCGGGCUGGCGGCUGGAGAGCGCCCGGGUCAUGUCGGCCCAGGGGGACUGCGAGUUCCUGGUGCAGCGAGCCCGGGAGUUGGUGCCGCAGGACCUGUGGGCAGCCAAGGCGUGGCUGAUCACGGCCCGCAGCCUCUACCCGGCCGACUUUAACAUCCAGUAUGAGAUGUAUACCAUUGAGCGGAAUGCAGAGCGGACCGCCACCGCCGGGAGGCUGCUGUACGACAUGUUUGUGAAUUUCCCAGACCAGCCGGUGGUGUGGAGAGAAAUCAGCAUUAUUACAUCAGCAUUAAGGAAUGAUUCACAGGACAAACAAACCCAAUUUUUAAGAAGUUUAUUUGAAACUCUUCCUGGUCGGGUCCAGUGUGAAAUGUUACUAAAGGUCACGGAACAAUGCUUCAACACGUUAGAACGAUCAGAAAUGUUGCUUCUACUUUUGAGGCGCUUCCCUGAAACGGUGGUGCAGCAUGGGGUUGGCCUUGGGGAGGCACUAUUAGAGGCUGAAACUAUUGAAGAACAAGAAUCUCCAGUGAACUGCUUUAGAAAAUUAUUUGUUUGUGAUGUCCUUCCUCUAAUAAUUAACAACCAUGAUGUUCGAUUACCUGCCAAUUUAUUAUAUAAGUACUUGAACAAAGCAGCUGAAUUUUAUAUCAAUUAUGUCACUAGGUCUACUCAAAUAGAAAAUCAGCAUCAAGGCGCCCAGGAUACAUCUGAUUUAAUGUCACCUAGCAAACGUAGCUCUCAGAAGUACAUAAUAGAAGGGCUGACGGAAAAAUCAUCCCAGAUCGUGGACCCUUGGGAGAGGUUGUUUAAGAUUUUGAAUGUUGUUGGAAUGAGAUGUGAAUGGCAGAUGGAUAAAGGAAGACGAAGCUAUGGAGAUAUUUUGCAUAGAAUGAAGGAUCUCUGCAGAUACAUGAACAACUUUGAUAGUGAAGCACAUGCAAAAUAUAAAAACCAAGUGGUGUAUUCCACCAUGCUGGUCUUCUUUAAGAAUGCAUUCCAGUAUGUCAACAGCAUACAGCCGUCUCUCUUCCAAGGUCCUAAUGCCCCGAGCCAAGUUCCACUGGUUCUUCUUGAAGAUGUAUCGAAUGUGUAUGGCGAUGUAGAAAUUGAUCGUAAUAAGCACAUCCAUAAAAAGAGGAAACUAGCUGAAGGAAGAGAAAAAACCAUGAGUUCAGACGAUGAAGACUGUUCGGCAAAAGGAAGAAAUCGUCACAUUGUAGUCAAUAAAGCCGAACUUGCUAACUCCAUUGAAGUGUUAGAAAGCUUUAAAUUGGCCAGGGAGAGCUGGGAGUUGCUCUAUUCCCUAGAAUUCCUUGACAAAGAAUUUACAAGGAUUUGCUUGGCCUGGAAGACGGAUACUUGGCUUUGGUUAAGAAUCUUCCUCACUGAUAUGAUCAUCUAUCAGGGUCAAUAUAAAAAGGCGAUAGCCAGCCUGCAUCACUUAGCAGCUCUCCAGGGAUCCAUUUCUCAGCCACAGAUCACAGGGCAGGGGACCCUGGAACAUCAGAGGGCGCUCAUCCAGCUGGCGACGUGCCACUUUGCACUAGGGGAGUACAGAAUGACAUGUGAAAAAGUCCUUGAUUUGAUGUGCUACAUGGUACUCCCCAUUCAAGAUGGAGGCAAAUCCCAGGAGGAACCCUCAAAAGUAAAGCCCAAAUUUAGAAAAGGUUCGGAUCUGAAGCUCCUGCCUUGUACCAGCAAGGCUAUCAUGCCAUACUGCCUGCAUUUAAUGUUAGCCUGUUUUAAGCUUAGAGCUUUCACAGACAACAGAGACGACAUGGCAUUGGGGCAUGUGAUUGUGUUGCUUCAGCAAGAGUGGCCACGGGGCGAGAAUCUUUUCCUGAAAGCUGUCAAUAAAAUUUGCCAACAAGGAAAUUUCCAAUAUGAGAAUUUUUUCAAUUACGUUACAAGUAUCCUUUUUUCUUGUUUAAGCGUAACACAUUCUGAUUUUCUUUAGAAUGAAUACAUGAUACAAAAAGAAUGAACCAUUCUGGAUAGAAAUAAUGAUUUUUACUAUUUUGCAGCAAAGAGAAGGAAUGGGGAUUAAAACUGGGGCUGUGGCAGUUGAUCUUCUGAAAGUCGUAAAAGACAUGAUUCAAGGAAUUGGGAAUCUUACAACCCUCUUCCAUUUUCCACUGCUAGGUGACUACUAAGAAGGUACCCAAAAUGCCUCCAGUAAUAGCCUACAGGUUGCUGAUAGGUUCAGCUUGCCCGGUUUAGUCAUGGAAUAUAAUACUAAUAGUUCCUCUUCUUCCAUCUAACAAAAGAAUGCCUCCUGUGGCCUCUGGGGACAGUGGCUGUGCCCUGUGAUCACUUGUUAGGGCACCCUGCCAUUGCUGUCUUACCUACCAAUGAGUACCCACCAGAGAUGCUGCACAGCACAGUAGCUGCUUCUGACAUUCUAUUUCACACUGCUUAUUAGGGAAAGACCUUUGAAUUAAAGAGUCGGGGUCUUGCUGUGUCACCCAGGCUGGAGUGCAGUGGUGUGAUCGUAGCUCACUGCAGUCUUAAACUCCUGGGCUCAAGAGACCCUCCUACCUCAGCCUUCUGAGUAGCUAGGACAACAGGUGUGCACUACCAUGCCAGGCCAAAGUAAUAGUUUUUAACCAUGGUUUGGGACAGAUAUCUUUUGAGAAUCUAAUGAAAGUUACAUAAUUUUUCACUAGAAAAAUGCAUACAUGAAUGUCAUCGGCAUAUUGCAUAAAAUUUGGGUGACUCACAGAAGCUUCCUCCUCUGAUGCAUCUAAACACCCUUGCACCCCAGUUAUGAAGAAGUAAUCACUUGAUUUUUAUGAAUUUUAUGUUCUGUAACACCAAACAAUCCUCCCUACUUUCACCUUCUCUUUCAUUUCUUAUUAAGAAAACAAAAAGAUUUUGCUCUUGUGACCAUGUAGUAUUAAUUAUCAUCGAUAUGGAAAACAUGUUGUCCUCAUGCUCUUUAGCAUGGCACAUCUCAUGCCAAGAGUUAUCUGUGCGAGGGAGUUUAGUGGGUAUAAGAAUCAGGUUUUGGCAUCAGACAGAUCUGGGUUCACAUAUGGAGUCUGCAGUUAGUGGGGUAGCAAUGGCAAGUUACUCAACUGCCGAGACCCCAUUUCCUUAUCAGAGAGAACUAGCAUGUUUUUUAGUGGGAUGGCAAUGGGCAAGUUACUCAACUGACGAGACCCCAUUUCCUCAUCAGAGAAAACUAGCACCUUUUUUUACAUGUG